Molecule: small RNA, 18 nt
Filed under: Arabidopsis thaliana (thale cress)
Lineage: Eukaryota; Viridiplantae; Streptophyta; Magnoliopsida; Brassicales; Brassicaceae
Description: ATSL145230
Source: RNAcentral
UUUUUUUUUAGUUUUGUU